UCCCGGCUAGCUCAGUUGGUAGAGCAUGGCAUUCUUGAUCUUUGAAGAUUGUAGGUUUGAAUCCCUCCCUGGGCA
This is a non-coding RNA of Pangasius djambal, 75 nucleotides long. NCBI's taxonomy places the organism in Eukaryota, Metazoa, Chordata, Actinopteri, Siluriformes, Pangasiidae. The record is from the annotation of a GenBank genome assembly.